UUUGCAUUGGGAAUUACCUAGUAGAGGGGGGAUAACCUCCCGAAUCCGGGAUUAAUACCCCAUAAAGCUCUAAUGCCACAUGGUAUAGGAGUCAAAGCGACUAAGCGUUACAAGAUGGUCCCGCGUCCCCUGAGCUAGUUGGUGAGAUAACAGCUCACCACGACGGCGAUGGGUAGCAGACCUGAGAGGAGGAUCGUCCACCACGGGAGUGAGACGCCGCCCAGCAUCCUACUGGAGGCAGCAGCAGGGAAUAUUGCGCAACGGGGGAAACCCUGACGAAGCAACGCCGCGUGAGCGAUGAAGAAGGCCGGGUGGUAAAGCUCUUUUUUGAGGGAUGAAAAAAAUGACAGUACCUCCAGAAGAAGCCCCGGCUAACUACGUGCCAGCAGCCGCGGUAAUACGGAGGGGGCAAGCGUUGUUCGGAAUUACUGGGCGUAAAGGGCGCGUAGGCGGUCUUGUAAGUCAGAUGUGAAAGUCCAGGGCUCAACCUUGGAAUGCCAUUGAAAUCGAAA
RNAcentral lists this ribosomal RNA (512 nucleotides) under uncultured Anaplasma sp. Its description in RNAcentral is "bacterial SSU rRNA". It matches the Rfam family "Bacterial small subunit ribosomal RNA", at positions 112 to 638 of the family's 1533-position model. The record is from RNAcentral. Lineage: Bacteria; Pseudomonadati; Pseudomonadota; Alphaproteobacteria; Rickettsiales; Anaplasmataceae.